UAGGGAAUUUUCGUCAAUGGGGGAAACCCUGAACGAGCAAUGCCGCGUGAGUGAAGAAGGAUUUCGGUCUGUAAAGCUCUGUUGUAAAGGAAGAAAGCGAAGUAGAGGAAAUGCUACUUCGUUGACGGUACUUUACCAGAAAGCCACGGCUAACUACGUGCCAGCAGCCGCGGUAAUACGUAGGUGGCAAGCGUUAUCCGGAAUUAUUGGGCGUAAAGGGUGCGUAGGCGGCAUAAUAAGUCUGAUGUUAAAGGCAGUGGCUCAACCACUGUUAGCAUUGGAAACUGUUAAGCUAGAGUACAGAAGGGGCAAGUGGAAUUCCAUGUGUAGCGGUAAAAUGCGUAGAUAUAUGGAGGAACACCAGUGGCGAAGGCGGCUUGCUGGUCUGUAACUGACGCUG
This 400-nucleotide ribosomal RNA is filed under the name uncultured bacterium. Its description in RNAcentral is "bacterial SSU rRNA". It matches the Rfam family "Bacterial small subunit ribosomal RNA", at positions 355 to 748 of the family's 1533-position model. The record is from RNAcentral.